RNAcentral lists this transfer RNA (71 nucleotides) under Oreochromis niloticus (Nile tilapia). Lineage: Eukaryota; Metazoa; Chordata; Actinopteri; Cichliformes; Cichlidae. RNAcentral also lists the same sequence under 1 other name. The record is from Rfam by way of RNAcentral.
UCUGUGGUUUUGUCUCCAUACAUAUUUGCUUGGCAAGUGGAAGAUCGCUGGUUCAAUUCCAGCCCACAGAU